Molecule: ribosomal RNA, 394 nt
Filed under: uncultured bacterium
Lineage: Bacteria
Description: partial 16S ribosomal RNA
Rfam family: Bacterial small subunit ribosomal RNA
Source: RNAcentral
AUACGUAGGGGGAUAGCGUUAUCCGGAAUUACUGGGCGUAAAGGGUGCGUAGGUGGUUUUUUAAGUCAGAAGUGAAAGGCUACGGCUCAACCGUAGUAAGCUUUUGAAACUAGAGAACUUGAGUGCAGGAGAGGAGAGUAGAAUUCCUAGUGAAGCGGUUAAAUGCGUAGAUAUUAGGAGGAAUACCAGUAGCGAAGGCGGCUCUCUGGACUGUAACUGACACUGAGGCACGAAAGCGUGGGGAGCAAACAGGAUUAGAUCCCCUGGUAGUCCACGCCGUAAACGAUGAGUACUAGGUGUCGGGGGUUACCCCCCUCGGUGCCGCAGCUAACGCAUUAAGUACUCCGCCUGGGAAGUACGCUCGCAAGAGUGAAACUCAAAUGAAUUGACGGGG